AUACGUAGGGGGCGAGCGUUGUCCGGAAUGAUUGGGCGUAAAGGGCGCGUAGGCGGCCUGUUAAGUCUGGAGUGAAAGUCCUGUUUUCAAGAUGGGAAUUGCUUUGGAUACUGAUGGGCUUGAGUGCAGGAGAGGUUAUCGGAAUUCCCGGUGUAGCGGUGAAAUGCGUAGAGAUCGGGAGGAACACCAGUGGCGAAGGCGGGUAACUGGACUGCAACUGACGCUGAGGCGCGAAAGUGUGGGGAGCAAACAGGAUUAGAUACCCUGGUAGUCCACACUGUAAACGAUGAAUGCUAGGUGUAAGAGGUAUCGACCCCUUUUGUGCCGGAGUCAACACAAUAAGCAUUCCGCCUGGGGAGUACUGCCGCAAGGUUGAAACUCAAAUGAAUUGACGGGG
RNAcentral lists this ribosomal RNA (397 nucleotides) under uncultured bacterium. RNAcentral describes it as "partial 16S ribosomal RNA". It matches the Rfam family "Bacterial small subunit ribosomal RNA", at positions 523 to 918 of the family's 1533-position model. The record is from RNAcentral.